Molecule: long non-coding RNA, 933 nt
Organism: Polyodon spathula (Mississippi paddlefish)
Lineage: Eukaryota; Metazoa; Chordata; Actinopteri; Acipenseriformes; Polyodontidae
Exons: 4
Source: RefSeq, a predicted model, not a curated record
GACAGACGUCACACCCCCAGUGUGUCACGUGCACACAUCGCUGCUCUGUUUGUUGCAGCUUGCUUCCCGUCGCUGUGAAGCGAGAGAGGAGGCUCGGCUGAACCCAAUGCAACCGCACUCGAGUAUUUGCAGUAAAUACGCUUUGAUUUCUGGAAACGUGAUUUUGUGGCAAUUAUAUAUUGAUUGUGCAAUUGAUUGUUAUUUGCAUACAGCAAAACAAUUCAUCAUGUCAUACAUUUAAAAAUGUUGAGGCGGCCGUUCGUUUUGAUUGGAACCCAGGUUGAAUAUGUAAAAGGAUAACUACCUUGCCCUCAACACUACUGAAGUGUUUCCAUUCUCAGCCCCAGGCAGGACACUCCUGUUAAUGCUCCUAGGCAACCAGGUAUGAGCACCAAGGAUGACUUCUUUGUCUGCCUGUGGCCUUGAUAUCAUGGAUCAUGGAUGUCAGGAUACAUUGAAGGUAGCGUUCCCCGACCACUUGUAACACAACACAGGCCCCUCUCCUUGUUUCCUGUGGGUCUUGUGUCAAACUUCCCUUCUGCUUAGCUGCCAGCCUCGUCUUUCCAACGCUCAUUUAUUUUCUUCAUCCCGCAGUCCGUCGGCGUGGCUGCAUCACAAGGUCAGUCAAGGGCCUUUGAGCGUAUCCUGUUGAUGCAACUGUGUUUUCCUGGGGCACAGAGACACUUGAAUCACAACGUGAUGCAGGACUGCUACAGGGACGUGAUUCCUCUGGCUUGUGUUGCCACAGUAGUUAGCGCUGCAGGCAGUUUAACUAUUUUCAAAUGACUCAGAACAAUGACAGCGUUUUACUUUCGGCUAAGACAAGACUGGCUUGGUUGAUUUUAAAACAUUCAUUUGACAGAUGUAGUCCUCAUGCUUAAUGUUGCAGCCCAAAAUAUCCAACCCCUAGUGGUACAAACAAGCCUUCAGCAC